This 806-nucleotide ribosomal RNA is filed under the name Microlunatus sp. Its description in RNAcentral is "bacterial SSU rRNA". It matches the Rfam family "Bacterial small subunit ribosomal RNA", at positions 31 to 849 of the family's 1533-position model. Lineage: Bacteria; Bacillati; Actinomycetota; Actinomycetes; Propionibacteriales; Propionibacteriaceae. The record is from RNAcentral.
GGGCGUGGCGGCGUGCUUACACAUGCAAGUCGAACGGUGACUCAAAGCUUGCUUUGAUGAUCAGUGGCGAACGGGAGAGUAACACGUGAGCAACCUACCCUUGACUCCGGGAUAACAGUUGGAAACAGCUGCUAAUACCGGAUACGACCUCGACCGACAUCAGUUGAGGUGGAAAGUUCUGGCGGUCAAGGAUGGGCUCGCGGCCUAUCAGCUAGUUGGUGAGGUAACGGCUCACCAAGGCUUCGACGGGUAGCCGGCCUGAGAGGGCGACCGGCCACACUGGGACUGAGAUACGGCCCAGACUCCUACGGGAGGCAGCAGUGGGGAAUAUUGCACAAUGGGCGAAAGCCUGAUGCAGCAACGCCGCGUGCGGGAUGACGGCCUUCGGGUUGUAAACCGCUUUCAGCUCCGACGAAGCGCAAGUGACGGUAGGAGCAGAAGAAGGACCGGCCAACUACGUGCCAGCAGCCGCGGUGAUACGUAGGGUCCGAGCGUUGUCCGGAAUUAUUGGGCGUAAAGGGCUUGUAGGCGGUUUGUCGCGUCGGAAGUGAAAACUCAGGGCUUAACCCUGAGCCUGCUUCCGAUACGGGCAAACUAGAGGAAUGCAGGGGAGAAUGGAAUUCCUGGUGGAGCGGUGGAAUGCGCAGAUAUCAGGAGGAACACCAGUGGCGAAGGCGGUUCUCUGGGCAUUUCCUGACGCUGAGAAGCGAAAGCGUGGGGAGCAAACAGGCUUAGAUACCCUGGUAGUCCACGCCGUAACGGGUGGGCACUAGGUGUGGGACUCUUUCCACGAGUAUCCGUGCCGU